AGAGUUUGAUUUUGGCUCAGGAUGAACGCUGGCGGCGUGCCUAAUACAUGCAAGUCGAACGCACAGCGAAAGGUGCUUGCACCUUUCAAGUGAGUGGCGAACGGGUGAGUAACACGUGGAUAACCUACCUCAAGGUUGGGGAUAACAUUUGGAAACAGAUGCUAAUACCGAAUAAAACUUCGUAUCGCAUGAUACAAGGUUAAAAGGCGCUACGGCGUCACCUAGAGAUGGAUCCGCGGUGCAUUAGUUAGUUGGUGGGGUAAAGGCCUACCAAGACAAUGAUGCAUAGCCGAGUUGAGAGACUGAUCGGCCACAUUGGGACUGAGACACGGCCCAAACUCCUACGGAAGGCUGCAGUAGGGAAUCUUCCACAAUGGGCGAAAGCCUGAUGGAGCAACGCCGCGUGUGUGAUGAAGGCUUUCGGGUCGUAAAGCACUGUUGUAUGGGAAGAACAGCUAGAGUAGGGAAUGACUUUAGUUUGACGGUACCAUACCAGAAAGGGACGGCUAAAUACGUGCCAGCAGCCGCGGUAAUACGUAUGUCCCGAGCGUUAUCCGGAUUUAUUGGGCGUAAAGCGAGCGCAGACGGUUGAUUAAGUCUGAUGUGAAAGCCCGGAGCUCAACUCCGGAAAGGCAUUGGAAACUGGUCAACUUGAGUGCAGUAGAGGUAAGUGGAACUCCAUGUGUAGCGGUGGAAUGCGUAGAUAUAUGGAAGAACACCAGCGGCGAAGGCGGCUUACUGGACUGUAACUGACGUUGAGGCUCGAAAGUGUGGGUAGCAAACAGGAUUAGAUACCCUGGUAGUCCACACCGUAAACGAU
This 820-nucleotide ribosomal RNA is filed under the name uncultured bacterium. RNAcentral's name for it is "bacterial SSU rRNA". It matches the Rfam family "Bacterial small subunit ribosomal RNA", at positions 8 to 810 of the family's 1533-position model. The record is from RNAcentral.